This 1056-nucleotide ribosomal RNA is filed under the name Citrobacter sp. RNAcentral describes it as "bacterial SSU rRNA". It matches the Rfam family "Bacterial small subunit ribosomal RNA", at positions 30 to 1071 of the family's 1533-position model. Lineage: Bacteria; Pseudomonadati; Pseudomonadota; Gammaproteobacteria; Enterobacterales; Enterobacteriaceae. The record is from RNAcentral.
GGGAAGGUACCGCGGUCCAACACCAUGCAGUCGAACGGUAGCCAGAGGAGCUUGCUCCUCGGGUGACGAGUGGCAGACGGGUGAAUAAUGUCUGGGAAACUGCCCUAUGGAGGGGGAUAACUACUGGAAACGGUAGCUAAUACCGCAAAAUGUCUCAAGACCAAAGAGGGGGACCUUCGGGCCUCUUGCCCUCAGAUGUGCCCAUAUGGGAUUAUCUUGUUGGUGAGGUAAUGGCUCACCAGGGCCACUAUCCCUAGCUGGUCAGAGAAGAUGACCAGCCACACUGGAACUGAGACACUGUCCAGACUCCUACGGGAGGCAGCAGUGGGGAAUAUUGCACAAUGGGCGCAAGCCUGAUGCACCCAUGCCGCGUGUGUGAAAAAGGCCUUCGGGUUGUAAAGCACUUUCAGCGGGGAGGAAGGCAAUGCGGUUAAUAACCGUGUUGAUUGACGUUACCCGCAGAAAAAGCACCGGCUAACUCCGUGCCCUCAGCCGCGGUAAUACAGAGGGUGCAAGCGUUAAUCGGAUUUACUGGGCGUAAAGCGCACGCAGGCUGUCUGUCAAGUCAGAUGUGAAAUCCCCGGGCUCAACCUGGGAACUGCAUUCGAAACUGGCACGCUUGACUCUUGUAGAGGGGGGUAAAAUUCCGUGUGUAGCGGUGAAAUGCGUAGAUAUCUGGAAGAAUACCUGUGGCAAAAGCGGCCCCCUGGACAAACACUGACGCUCAUGUGCCAAAGCGUGGAGAGCACACGGGAUUAUAUACCCUGGUACUCCACGCCAUACACGAUGUCAACUUAGAGGUUGUGCCCUUGAAGCGUGUCUUCCAGAUCUAACGCGUUAACUCCACCCCCUGGAGAAUACCGCCGCAGUGUUAAAACUCAUAUGAAUUUGACGGGGGCCCACACAAGCGGUGGAACAUGGUGUUUUAAUUCGAUGCAACGCAAAAAACCUUACCUGCUCUUGACAUCCACGGAAUUUCGGCAAAAAAUCCCUUAUUGCCUUCGGGAACCCGUGAAAACAGGUGUUGCAUGGCUUUUCCUCCACCUCCUGUUUGAA